UUUCAGUGAAAACGUGGAGAUGAAAACUGCUUAGUGAAGAACAUACAAUUGACGGUUACGUUUCGAAAAUGCCAGUACAGAAAGAAGACGUAUGAACCUCUCAUAAAAAGUGUUGAAUUAUUCAGUUACAUUGGUGGAUAUGUUGGAAUGUGGUUAGGCAUUCAUCUGAUUGCCCUUUUCGACCUGGCAGAGGGUAUUAGUCACCUACUUUAUUUUCCGUUUAGAGAAAAGCAGAAUUAACGAAAAAUGCGUUACAAAAUGAUUGUUUAUUAUUAUUAUUUCUUAUGAUAAUUUAUAAUUUAGUUGGUAAUAGCUAUGCUUUGUUUCUUUAUAUAAUGCUAUCAAAAAUAAUAAUUAAAAUUAUGUUUUAAAUUAUUA
Long non-coding RNA from Parasteatoda tepidariorum (common house spider), 378 nucleotides. RefSeq lists it as uncharacterized. The record is from RefSeq and is a predicted model, not a curated record. Lineage: Eukaryota; Metazoa; Arthropoda; Arachnida; Araneae; Theridiidae.